CCCCUCUCAGGUUUGUUCCUGGAGAGUUUCCAGUACUCUACCAGUCCUGACUAGGGGAGGGAGAGUCAAGCUGAGGCAUACCCCUUCCAUUCCUAGCCUGAGCAGUGAUUAGUGAGUGGAAGGCAAUCUGCUACAAGU
Molecule: small nucleolar RNA, 138 nt
Organism: Tachyglossus aculeatus (Australian echidna)
Lineage: Eukaryota; Metazoa; Chordata; Mammalia; Monotremata; Tachyglossidae
Source: RefSeq, a predicted model, not a curated record